This 231-nucleotide ribosomal RNA is filed under the name uncultured bacterium. RNAcentral's name for it is "partial 16S ribosomal RNA". It matches the Rfam family "Bacterial small subunit ribosomal RNA", at positions 89 to 334 of the family's 1533-position model. The record is from RNAcentral.
AGUAAAGUGGCGUACGGGUGAGUAACACGUGGAUCAUCUACCUUUUAGCGGGGAAUACCGCUGGGAAACCGGCGACAAUACCGCAUAAGCUCGAGAGAGGAAAGCCGAAAGGCGCUGAAAGAGGAGUCCGCGGCCGAUUAGCUAGUUGGUAGGGUAAUGGCCUACCAAGGCUGUGAUCGGUAGCCGGCCUGAGAGGGCACACGGCCACACUGGCACUGAAACACGGGCCAG